This 253-nucleotide ribosomal RNA is filed under the name uncultured bacterium. RNAcentral describes it as "partial 16S ribosomal RNA". It matches the Rfam family "Bacterial small subunit ribosomal RNA", at positions 524 to 776 of the family's 1533-position model. The record is from RNAcentral.
UACGGAGGGUGCAAGCGUUAUCCGGAAUCAUUGGGUUUAAAGGGUCCGCAGGCGGACUUAUAAGUCAGUGGUGAAAUCUCUCGGCUUAACCGAGAAACUGCCAUUGAUACUGUAAGUCUUGAAUUCGGUCGAAGUGGGCGGAAUGUGUCAUGUAGCGGUGAAAUGCAUAGAUAUGACACAGAACACCGAUAGCGAAGGCAGCUCACUAGGCCUGGAUUGACGCUCAGGGACGAAAGCGUGGGGAGCGAACAGG